This is a non-coding RNA of Araneus ventricosus, 92 nucleotides long. The record is from the annotation of a GenBank genome assembly. Lineage: Eukaryota; Metazoa; Arthropoda; Arachnida; Araneae; Araneidae.
GGUAGCGUGGCCGAGUGGUUUAAGGCGCUGGCCUUUGUUCAUUUUUUAGGCACCAGUCUUUCGAGGCGCGGGUUCAAAUCCCGCAGUUGCCU